Molecule: long non-coding RNA, 1736 nt
Organism: Oenanthe melanoleuca
Lineage: Eukaryota; Metazoa; Chordata; Aves; Passeriformes; Muscicapidae
Exons: 2
Source: RefSeq, a predicted model, not a curated record
ACAGGCUUUGACUGUUCACAGCCCUGGGAAGCUCAGCACGAUAAAUGUGUUCUGGGCUAAGCACCUCCUUUGGAAAAAUCACCCCAAAGUGUCCCUGGGGGCUUGGGUGGGUCUCACCUGUGGAGCCAGAGUGGCCUCCCCAAAGGAAGGUGCUGACACCUCCACUGUCACCUCCACUGCCACCUUCUGCUGGCAUCAACGUGCUCAGCAGCCCAGAAAUCAGUGCAAAGCUGUUUGCUGUGUUCACAUCCAGUGCUGGCCCAGGCUGAAGAGACUCUGUGUCCUGGAGUGAUGCAAUUCUCUGUCAGGGCAGUGGGAUGUUGCUGCUAUUGGCACUUGGGAAGCCAAAAUGCAAUUCUUGUUCUGCCCUAACGUUGCUUUUCUGUCUUUUCUCUCUGCUUUUCUGUCUGUGUUGUGCAAGGCAUGAUGAGAUGGCCUGGGGGAGCAGCUGCUGUAGAAAAUGGUUUGUUUGUAGCAGGGCUGUCAAACUCCUCCCCACUGCUGAAGCAAAUGCAGAUAUAUCAAAAGACCCCUCAGUAAAAAACAUCAUUUACCUCUGGCUUUGACAUUGCUGGUUCUGCAGUGAGGCCAAGGAGUUCAGUGGCUCUUUGGCCAAGCUGUUAAAUUUUCUUUGUGCUCUCUGUACCCACAGAAGAUCAGCAGGGAAGAAUUAAUGGAGUGCAGGGAGGGUUGUCCACACAGCAGGGUGUUCUGCCCUGCCCCUCAAUCUGUGUCACACAGGUGUAAAAAUCUUACUCUGGGGCUUUACUACCCCAAUUAGAACUCAGGUUACACUGAAUUUCCUGCAGAAGCAGCAAUGCCUGUGAGAAUCACGUCAGUCAGUUCACCUGUGCAGGUGAACUUCCCCUGCAGUGAAAAUCCCACCAGGAACAAGCCUCUGCAUCAUCCUGGAUUUUCCCACCCUGAAGGCCCUAAACAUUUUUAACAAACAAUACAUCCCCAAACUUUGUAAACAGUGGUGAAGGUGUGCAAGACCAGAGUAGCAUGGAUGGGAUGGGGUGGUCAGCAGCAGGUUAAUGCCACAUUUCUGUUCCCAGGAGAAAGCAGAGGGAAAUGAGGAGGAGUGAGACACUGACUGGGGGACAGCACGCUGCUCACAGCUGGAGAUGGCCAUGGAAAACUGGAGUGGCCACAGGACAGGCUGGAGGGAGAACAAGAGAGGCAGAGAGCCACAGAGUCCCUCCUGCAGGGCUGCAAAUGUGUGGCUCCUUGUUUCUGGGAUUUGGGCAAAAUAAACGCCCAGACACUGACCCAACAUAAAAGAACAUUUUCAGAGGAACAAAUAUUGGUUAUGAAUAAGACUUGGGAGUGCUUCUCAGGAAUGUACCUGUGCAAACGAGGAGAAAAGGAUGAAACAUCCUUCUCUUUGUCACCUCUGCUUAGAGCUGAGGGCUUGGUUCCUGUGUGAGCUCCAGGGGCUGCAGGAUGGGGCAGCCAAAGUAGGAGGCCUUGGACCUGAAAUGUUGGGGCCACGCAGAAGGGAAUUGUCCCCCAGGUCCUUCCUCACUGCAGGAACCCCUCUGUGCAGUGGCCUGGGCAGAAUUCUCUGACCUUUCUGCAGGUCCCUCCUGUGCCUCCUUUUCCCUUGGCAAACCCUGUCUGUGCAGAGCAGAUUUCUCCAGGCAUGGCCCUGCCCAGGACGUGCUCAUAAGGGACAAAGUAUUAACCCAAGAGCUAAAAAAAGAACAAAUAAAACGCCUAAGUUGGCCCAAGCA